This 1638-nucleotide long non-coding RNA is filed under the name Oncorhynchus kisutch (coho salmon). Its description in RNAcentral is "lncRNA (ENSOKIG00005049387.1)". The record is from RNAcentral. Lineage: Eukaryota; Metazoa; Chordata; Actinopteri; Salmoniformes; Salmonidae.
ACUCUCUUCUACCUUUUUUAUGACUUGUUCAAAGUUCCUUGCCUGGGUCCCAUCCCAAAUAUGUGACACAGUGAAUCACUUUUUCAGGCGUUGUGAGAUCUGUGCCCAUAUUCAGAAAGCCUCUGAGUAGGAAUGCUGAUGUAAGAUGGUUUAUAUAUAUAUAUUCAUUCAGGCCCUGAUAAGCAGUGGAGGCUGCUGAGAGAGGACGGCUCGUAGUAAUGGGAUAGUAUCAAACACAUGGUUUCAAUGUGCUUGAUGCCAUUCCAUCCACUCAUUCCAGCCAUUUAUUUUUGAGCUGUCCUCCCCUAAUAUGUGCAGUGUGGCUUCCGAAAAUAUGACCUGGAACAUCAGAUUCUCACCGUCUGUUGACCCCUGGUGGUCAUGGGAUGUCAUAGCAGCUGUAUACACCUCAGGCAUAUGCAGGGAAGUUGAGACAACAGCUCUUCAUAUCAUUUGGCUCUUGUAACUACUGUUAUUGUUUGAAAUGUGCAUAUUUAAUUAUUCUUAUAAAGUAGAAAUGACUUGUGAAUAAAGUUAGGACCUAUACCCUUUGAAUUGAAAUGAUGUUUGAACGAUCUAAUAUCUGUUUUUUUCCCCAGCUAUAACACACCGAAUGAUGAAAACAUGUUUUCCUUAGAGUAACAACUAAUCAUUAACCAAAGAUCUUGUCACUGUUAGAUUUACCUCUGCUAGCCUGAGUGCCAGUCAGUUUGUGCUAUCAUGUCAACUCUUUGGCUGGGAUUCAAUUCGAUCAUGCAUUGUCAGCUAUGCACAUUUAAAGGCAAUGUUUUCGCGUCGGUUGAAUCGAACAUGACCUAUUUCUUGUUUUUUUUAUGUCAAGGGUACCUCUCUGCCAUGCUGUACCUCCCCCUCAUUUUUAUUUUACUCCUUUCUAUUUGAACUGCCACGUUUUCACCUGAGACCUUAAGUGCCUUUGUCUUGGAAAGGUUCCAGUGGCUGUGUUGUAACAGCCUGGUCCCCAAAUCAUCUCUUCUGUGUCAGUAAUUUAGGCAUGGAUUCAAUCCGUUACGUCGAAGACCUGCGCUUUAGCGUAAUUGACAUUUUAAAGGCAAUUUUCCCGCUUUUGCCGAGACUGCAUUUACGGUAAACACUGCAUAUGUCGGCUCAAUCGGCAAUUACUUUUGAAUUAGAUCUCUAUGGUGGAUCUUCCACGCUAUGAUUCAAUUUAUCCUCUUAUUCAUCCAGAAAUGUCCCAUAUGUUUCUUCAUUAAAUAUUUGUAAGAAAAAAACUAAAAGUGUUUGUUCUUCUGCAUUCAGGUAUGUUCUGGUUUAGACUGAAAGAAACUGUGAUAUCUAAGGCUGGACAUUAACCAAAGUGACAUUUGGACUCAUUUAGAUUUGUCAUAAUAAUAGUUUAUUAUAGCUAUUUUAUACUUCUGUCUAGAGUCUGUUGCUUCAACACCAGAGUGAAAUAACAUUUCAGGGUUACCAACUGUAAUGUCAAUUCAACAACUGCAUCUUUUUCGGUUGAGGAAAACCGUUUGCUCUGUCUGGAUGAUUGUUUCAUAGAAGUGCCUUUUAUUUCAAACUUUAUAUUUGUAAAAUUCAUUAAACUGUUCAGUAAAACCUUGAUGAGCAUUUUAAUUAAAGUUGUGGCGCGAUAAGGGGGGGGGGGGG